Molecule: long non-coding RNA, 769 nt
Organism: Melitaea cinxia (Glanville fritillary)
Lineage: Eukaryota; Metazoa; Arthropoda; Insecta; Lepidoptera; Nymphalidae
Exons: 2
Source: RefSeq, a predicted model, not a curated record
UACAAUUUUGUUAAUAAUACUUCUAAUUUAACGGGACUUCCCGUAAUUUUGUUUCGUUCUUGAGGUAGAACAUGGCAGGAAAUAUCUUGCUCAAGAUUUAGGGUAGUCUGACUAGAGAAAUGUUAACCUUACAAAAGAUUGCACCUAAAAGUACUGCUCUUAAGUACCUGUAGUGUUCUUGUGGUGAGUAAGGUAGCCCAACAUAAGUGGGAGAGUCGAGAAUAGAGCAGACAACGCACUUUGAACCCUCCUGAUGUUCCAAGAGUCCAUAGUUUACAGUAUCCAUCGCUUACCAUAUGGUGAACUGUACACUUUUCUUUAUAAAUAAAUAAAUGUAAUAAAUUUCGUAACUUAAUUAGAAUCUUGAAUGACUGGCAAACUCUAAUAAAUAAUGUUAAUUUCAACAUGUUGUAAUGUUAAAGAAAACGAUCUUAUGUUAACGAUCUCGAUCUUAAUGUUAUCUUCAUAACUAUAUACAUAUUCAUAUAUAUAUAUAGCUUAGCAGCCUUCAAAGCAACACUGGUUCGGAAAAAUUGUUAAAUGAAUGUGCUUUUGAUAGUUCCAAUAACGUCAAAAGAUGGAAGUUUCUUUUUCUGUUAUGAGCGGCUCUUCAUAUUUGUGGUUUGUCUGGCCGUUUGUCCUAGUAUGUCUUUCAAACGUGGCUCAUAAAGCAAGUUAAGGUAGUGGUAGUGAUUCUCAUUAUAAAUGUCUAAUUGUUACUCUUGUUACAAAAAUUGUUCAAAAUAAAAUAUUUUAUAAUUUGUUCACA